CAGUCGCCGCGGGAAUACGAAGGGUGCAAGCGUUACUCGGAAUUACUGGGCGUAAAGCGUGCGUAGGUGGUGGUUUAAGUCCGUUGUGAAAGCCCUGGGCUCAACCUGGGAAUUGCAGUGGAUACUGGGUCACUAGAGUGUGGUAGAGGAUAGUGGAAUUUCCGGUGUAGCAGUGAAAUGCGUAGAGAUCGGAAGGAACAUCUGUGGCGAAGGCGACUAUCUGGGCCGACACUGACGCUGAGGCACGAAAGCGUGGGGAGCAAACAGGAUUAGAUACCCGAGUAGUCCCUGUCUCUUAUAC
This 301-nucleotide ribosomal RNA is filed under the name uncultured bacterium. RNAcentral's name for it is "partial 16S ribosomal RNA". It matches the Rfam family "Bacterial small subunit ribosomal RNA", at positions 509 to 807 of the family's 1533-position model. The record is from RNAcentral.